UACGUAGGGACCGAGCGUUGUCCGGAAUCAUUGGGCGUAAAGAGCGCGUAGGCGGCCAGAUAAGUCCGGUGUGAAAGUCAAAGGCUCAACCUUUGAAUGCCGCUGGAAACUGUCUGGCUAGAGUCCGGGAGGGGCGAGUGGAAUUCCUGGUGUAGCGGUGAAAUGCGCAGAUAUCAGGAGGAACACCAAUGGCGAAGGCAGCUCGCUGGAACGGUACUGACGCUGAGGCGCGAAAGCGUGGGGAGCAAACAGG
RNAcentral lists this ribosomal RNA (253 nucleotides) under uncultured bacterium. Its description in RNAcentral is "partial 16S ribosomal RNA". It matches the Rfam family "Bacterial small subunit ribosomal RNA", at positions 524 to 776 of the family's 1533-position model. The record is from RNAcentral.